RNAcentral lists this ribosomal RNA (247 nucleotides) under uncultured bacterium. Its description in RNAcentral is "partial 16S ribosomal RNA". It matches the Rfam family "Bacterial small subunit ribosomal RNA", at positions 87 to 334 of the family's 1533-position model. The record is from RNAcentral.
CUUAGAGACCGGCGCACGGGUGAGUAACGCGUAUGCAACCUACCUUACACAUUGGGAUAGCCCGGAGAAAUUCGGAUUAAUACCUUAUAGAUUAUUGAUUUGGCAUCGGAUUAAUAAUAAAGAUUUAUCGGUGUAAGAUGGGCAUGCGUCUCAUUAGCUAGUUGGUAUGGUAACGGCAUACCAAGGCGAUGAUGAGUAGGGGUCCUGAGAGGGAGAUCCCCCACACUGGUACUGAGACACGGACCAG